Molecule: small RNA, 565 nt
Filed under: Pan troglodytes (chimpanzee)
Lineage: Eukaryota; Metazoa; Chordata; Mammalia; Primates; Hominidae
Description: processed transcript
Source: RNAcentral
AAUUGAUAAAUUGCAAGUUUGUGCCCCAUAGCUGCACAGACUGCCUGAAGUUACAUUUAGAGACUGAAAUCACUGCACCUUAAAAACAAAAGAUUGAGCUGCACUGUAUUCCUAUCUUUGACCAUCAGUCUGUGACCUGCCCCUUCUCUUUACAUGCAGCCGCUCUCUGCUCCCUGCCCCAAUGAACAUCUGCACUAGGCCCAAGCCUUGGAGUAAUUUACCUGAAGAGUGACACCAUUGAUUUUGAAACUACUGAAGAAACCCAAGACAGCUGAAAACCAGAAGGCAUCUGAGGAGAAUGAGAUUACUCAGCCGGGUGGAUCCAGCGCCAAGCCGGGCCUUCCCUGCCUGAACUUUGAAGCUGUUUUGUCUCCAGACCCAGCCCUCAUCCACUCAACACAUUCACUGACAAACUCUCACGCUCACACCAGGUCAUCUGAUUGUGAGAAGCCCCACCAAUGCAGCAUCUGUUGGCGCUCCUUCUCCUUAAAGGAUUACCUUAUCAAGCACAUGGUGACACACACAGGAGUGAGGGCAUACCAGUGUAGUAUCUGCAACAAGCGCU